UUCUCUGAUUCCACUGAAAAAUCAGUGAAGGACAUUGCAAGCCAGAAUAAGAUCCAGUACAUUAAAAUUUUCAGUUCAUACAUACACCAAAAUCCAUCCAAAUAAAAUCAGAAAUUCUCUGAAUUUUUAGUGUACCACAUACACCACUAGUAUGCAAAUAACUUAACUAAUUACUUUGAGCUGAAAAAUAAGUCAACUAAUAAGGACCACCUCCAGCACAGAAACUUCCUACCUGACCAAAGAAUCACCGCCAGACUCAAUAUCAAUCACCUCUACUGUCUUGGUGGAAUCAUCAUUGGAAUUGUUCUCUCUUGCAGAAGAGGGGUCAUUUUCAAUAUUUUCACAUAUACACGUAGCCCGGUUGUCAUAGAAUCGCCUCUUUCCAGCACGACUUCCAUGGCAUCUCCCGUAGGUCCUUUCUGAAUUACUUGCACCUGUGCCCAGCAUUCAUCCCAUGACAUAUCUCCCCUGUUUAUAAAUAAGCUGUAGAGUUGUUUAACAUUUUCUUGUGGCCAAUAUAUCUCGUGCGAAAAACAGUUUCAUAAUUUAGAAUGAACUAAGACGAGCACGAAUGUAUAUAGUGAACAAGGAUGUGCAACAACAAGUAUUCUGUCCAUGUUGCAAUUAUUUUCAGAAUCAGUUCCAUCAUAGAUAAAAUCAAUUGAAGUCACGAGAGAUGAGUAUGAAACACAUAAUGCAAACCGACUAAGAUAACCGAAGAUCACAUCGUAACUAACGUAAGAAGCAAAUGGGCAUUUGACUACUAUAAAUCAGAGCAAAAGUGUCAGGGGCAUGCUUGCCUUGGGAGUUCAGCAGACACCUCUCCAUAGAGGUUACUUUGCUUGGCACUGCCCUCGCCGUAAGCCCGUCACGGGAUCGGUAACUGCUUGUACGAGUACUAGUAAUAACACCAAGAAUCAUCAUAGCAUUCCGCUACAUUACAUUCAGAAGGAAAGAAUUAUUGCAUUAAUGCAUAAGCCAUUUAGAGCGGCACUGACUACUUCUGUACCAACCAUGCCAAUCGAGAUUGAGAGAUUUAGGGAACUCGAAUCCAGAUAUGAACUGCAAACCUGCGUUUCCAUCCUCCAGCCGACUGAUAUGAACUAGAAUUGCACAGAGAUACAGCUCCCUGGAUCAACACCUGCGUUUCUAUCCACCACCCAGUGGUUAUGUACAAGACUUUGAAUCGCCAUGGCCGGACUUGGGGUGCAUCAGUUGUUCGUAUGUCAGGAGAAAUCAGAACGGAUGAACUAGGAGUACCAUCCACCACAUUGGAU
Molecule: long non-coding RNA, 1277 nt
Filed under: Triticum aestivum (bread wheat)
Lineage: Eukaryota; Viridiplantae; Streptophyta; Magnoliopsida; Poales; Poaceae
Description: long non-coding RNA (TAES_LNC010070)
Source: RNAcentral